CCCCUAAGGCGAGGCCGAAAGGCGUAGUCGAUGGGAAACGGGUUAAUAUUCCCGUACUUGGUGUUACUGCGAAGGGGGGACGGAGAAGGCUAUGUUGGCCGGGCGACGGUUGUCCCGGUUUAAGCGUGUAGGUGUGUGUUCCAGGUAAAUCCGGUUCACUUUAACACUGAGGCGUGAUGACGAGGCACUACGGUGCUGAAGCAACAAAUGCCCUGCUUCCAGGAAAAGCCUCUAAGCAUCAGGUAACAUCAAAUCGUACCCCAAACCGACACAGGUGGUCAGGUAGAGAAUACCAAGGCGCUUGAGAGAACUCGGGUGAAGGAACUAGGCAAAAUGGUGCCGUAACUUCGGGAGAAGGCACGCUGACACGUAGGUGAAGUGAUUUACUCAUGGAGCUGAAGUCAGUCGAAGAUACCAGCUGGCUGCAACUGUUUAUUAAAAACACAGCACUGUGCAAACACGAAAGUGGACGUAUACGGUGUGACGCCUGCCCGGUGCCGGAAGGUUAAUUGAUGGGGUCAGCGCAAGCGAAGCUCCUGAUCGAAGCCCCGGUAAACGGCGGCCGUAACUAUAACGGUCCUAAGGUAGCGAAAUUCCUUGUCGGGUAAGUUCCGACCUGCACGAAUGGCGUAAUGAUGGCCAGGCUGUCUCCACCCGAGACUCAGUGAAAUUGAACUCGCUGUGAAGAUGCAGUGUACCCGCGGCAAGACGGAAAGACCCCGUGAACCUUUACUAUAGCUUGACACUGAACAUUGAGCCUUGAUGUGUAGGAUAGGUGGGAGGCUUUGAAGUGUGGACGCCAGUCUGCAUGGAGCCGGCCUUGAAAUACCACCCUUUAAUGUUUGAUGUUCUAACGUGGACCCGUGAUCCGGGUUGCGGACAGUGUCUGGUGGGUAGUUUGACUGGGGCGGUCUCCUCCUAAAGAGUAACGGAGGAGCACGAAGGUUGGCUAAUCCUGGUCGGACAUCAGGAGGUUAGUGCAAUGGCAUAAGCCAGCUUGACUGCGAGCGUGACGGCGCGAGCAGGUGCGAAAGCAGGUCAUAGUGAUCCGGUGGUUCUGAAUGGAAGGGCCAUCGCUCAACGGAUAAAAGGUACUCCGGGGAUAACAGGCUGAUACCGCCCAAGAGUUCAUAUCGACGGCGGUGUUUGGCACCUCGAUGUCGGCUCAUCACAUCCUGGGGCUGAAGUAGGUCCCAAGGGUAUGGCUGUUCGCCAUUUAAAGUGGUACGCGAGCUGGGUUUAGAACGUCGUGAGACAGUUCGGUCCCUAUCUGCCGUGGGCGCUGGAGAACUGAGGGGGGCUGCUCCUAGUACGAGAGGACCGGAGUGGACGCAUCACUGGUGUUCGGGUUGUCAUGCCAAUGGCACUGCCCGGUAGCUAAAUGCGGAAGAGAUAAGUGCUGAAAGCAUCUAAGCACGAAACUUGCCCCGA
Molecule: ribosomal RNA, 1431 nt
Filed under: Salmonella enterica
Lineage: Bacteria; Pseudomonadati; Pseudomonadota; Gammaproteobacteria; Enterobacterales; Enterobacteriaceae
Description: partial 23S ribosomal RNA
Rfam family: Bacterial large subunit ribosomal RNA
Source: RNAcentral